Molecule: small nucleolar RNA, 84 nt
Organism: Manihot esculenta (cassava)
Lineage: Eukaryota; Viridiplantae; Streptophyta; Magnoliopsida; Malpighiales; Euphorbiaceae
Product: small nucleolar RNA snoR128
Exons: 1
Source: RefSeq, a predicted model, not a curated record
UUGCUGUGAUGAGUAUGCAGAACUCAUGAAAGUUUAUGCAGUAAUUGCUUGGUGAAAUUCAAUCCUGAGCGGUUAACUGAACAC